This 1023-nucleotide long non-coding RNA is filed under the name Capra hircus (goat). RNAcentral describes it as "lncRNA (ENSCHIG00010013681.1)". The record is from RNAcentral. Lineage: Eukaryota; Metazoa; Chordata; Mammalia; Artiodactyla; Bovidae.
UUAAACUCGGCGGAGGAGGGACCCAGGGGUUGAGGGACGCCAGGCGGUUGCCCAGUCAACCAGUUCACACCCUUCGGGGACCCGGAAGUGACGCAGGGCCCGGAACCUACGCGGUGCCGGGAUCGGCGACGGUCCCCGAAGCUGACUGUUUCUCUGUCGUGAUUUGAGUGACUGGGGGGGAAAGUCGAAAAUUCACAGACAAACGUGUCCCGAAUCCCAACGCUGACUGCGCCGAGGGCGAGCUUACGUCCUGCACUGCCGCCCGAGCCUUCCCGCGACCAGCCAUUUCCCGGACGGGCGGGAGCGCGCGUGCCGUGCCCCGCCCACACCCUACGUCACCUCUGCAAGCCCCGCCCCCAGGCGGGGGGGGUAGGGAUCCUGCUCACCCCACACUCAGACACUCACAUACACACACCCCUCAGCUCCCCCGCGGGGAGCCCCUAGCCUUUCAACCAUUCGGCUGUAGCAGCCGGGAAAGGCUACGGCCCGGAACUUUCCCUGGGGUGGGAGACUGGGGAAGACUCGAUUCCCGAGCCCAGAGCCCCGGAGCGCCGGGGGAGGGACCUCCCCAGAGGCCGCCUUCGCAGUCCGCCCUCGCCCCCUCCCCCCUAGCACGUUCCAGUGCAUCUGCGCUCAGGGGGUGGGGGCCUGAGGCGGGCUGGGCUGAAGGAAGCCCGGCCCUGUGGGCCUGCGGGAGUCCGGCAGCGGCCGGCCGCUCACUCCCCACGGCAACCCCCCCUCCACCGCCCGGCUGCACGCUCCCCGAGCCGGGGCGCCGAGGGGUCUGCGGUACACGGCGGGCGAACACCCGGAACAAAUGAGCUUGCUGCUUAAAAAUGGCUGAUUUCGUCUUCAGAGCGGCUGCAGUCGCUGGGUCUGCAGCGGGGGCUGACGAGCGGCCACCUCUCCCUUCCACCCUCAAGACCCCCCCCCCAAGAAGUCCGCAGCGGGGGAAGGGGGAGGGCCGCGAACCCCACCUGCGGGGGCCCGCUGCCCCGGGUCCCACACACCAGACCCCACACA